Hemicordylus capensis (graceful crag lizard) is the source of this 597-nucleotide long non-coding RNA. RefSeq lists it as uncharacterized. Lineage: Eukaryota; Metazoa; Chordata; Lepidosauria; Squamata; Cordylidae. The transcript has 3 exons. The record is from RefSeq and is a predicted model, not a curated record.
CGGGUGGGCGGGGCUUCCACGGAGGCCUCCUUGUAGGCCGCAGUGAAGCCUGAACUCGAGUAGGGCCCAAGCAAGCCAGGAAGGAGGAGGCAGCCAGAGUGUUCUCUGCAGCAGAAGACCCCUUGCUGCCCUGCUUAACCCAGACCAGCAUUUGCCAGGGCCCAGGGCAAGAAAAAUGGCCUGGAAACACAUGAUGCAGUAAUUUUGCUGAAGAUAAACCGGAGACACACGGAAGCGGCAGUUUGAAAUGGUUGGCUGCUACUAUCCAACUGACUCUCACACCAGUGAGCCACAGCUGCUGCCUCUCACCCCUUUUCUUCCCCUUCGUUCUGCCCUGCUCAGCUGCUCCCUACCAUCAAGGAGGCUCUGGACUGAACUUUGUGCAACGAACGCACCCAGGAAGGACAGGUAACACUUCAAUCUCAACCGGGCUUCCCCACCUCUCUGCCUUCUUCCUCUCUGCUCCUUUUCAGGCACCUUCAGUAAAGAUUUCUAACCAAGCUCUCAUUUUGCUUUCUGUAAGAAGUCAAACAAUCUCUUAAAAAUCCAUAACUAAAUUCCCUACUUCUGUCUGUAACCACCCAAGUCUACCUUAAU